This is a long non-coding RNA of Loxodonta africana (African savanna elephant), 13897 nucleotides long. RefSeq lists it as uncharacterized. The record is from RefSeq and is a predicted model, not a curated record. The transcript is spliced from 2 exons. NCBI's taxonomy places the organism in Eukaryota, Metazoa, Chordata, Mammalia, Proboscidea, Elephantidae.
UUUUAAUUUUUAUUUUUAUCGUGCUUUAAGUGAAAGUUUACAAAUCUUAUAUACACCUUGCUAUGUACUCCUAGUUGCUCUCCCCCUAAUGAGACAGCACACUCCCCUCCACCUUGUGUUCCCGUGUCCAUUCAGCCAUCUUCUGUCCUCCUCAGCCUUCACACUUCCCCUUGAGACAGGAGCUGGCCACAGAGUCUCAUGUGUCUACUUGAGCCAAGAAGCUCACUCCUCACCAGUAUCAUUUUCCAUCCCCUGUUCCAGUCCAAUCCCUGUCUGAAGAGUUGGCUUCAGGAAUGGUUCCAGUCUUGGGCUAACAGAAGGUCUGGGGACCAUGACCUCCGGGGUCCCUCCAGGCAUCUUGCUUUAAAAAAACAAAAAAGGUAAAGCGCACCAGGAAGACCCCAUCAGGAAUGUGGCUUUGUGGUUCUGUGUGAAAUUAUGCACCCAGUCCCUCAUAGUGGAUGGUAUUUAUGGGUUUUGUAAUGUAAAGCUACCUGUGGUGUUAUUUUUAUAUCUGCUGUCGGGCUGUGAUUGCGUACACAGCCGUUAAGGCGCUUCUGUUAAUGUACCCUGGGCUGGAGAAAAAAAUCUGUGACCGUUCUUAUCUGAUGAGGUUACAUUUUCUUUCUGAACAAUGUUGAGGUGUCAUAAACCAAUAGAUCAGAAAUGGUCCUCUUCAUAUGCAGGAUUUAUUACUCACACUCCAGGCAUUCAAACCAAACCCAAACUCUUUGCCAUUGAGUCGAUUCCAACUCAUAGCGACCCUAUAGGACAGAGUAGAACUGCCCCGUAGAGUUUCCAAGGAGCACUUGGUGGAUUUGAACUGCUGACCUUUUGUUUAGCAGCCGUAGCUCUUAACCACAAAGGCCCCCAAUCCUAGUGGGGGUAGAGAAGGCACAGAGCUGCUAUGGGUGCAUUUGGCCCUCAUCAGUGAGCUGUCCAGCAGAACGCGGCUGCAGUGAGGCGCUGAGGUUUAACAGGCCAACGUGGCCUUGGAGACUUAUUCUGCCUUUCAUUGGCUGGGUGACUUUGUGUUCCUUGUCUUUCUGUGUUCUAAAGAUGAGCUUGGAUUCCCGGGUCAGCUUCUCGUGGUGAUGGGGCCACUGAGGGUCUCUCUCCUCUUCAGUCUCUCUCCACACAUCACCAGGCACUCAGAUAUCAUUUAGAGUCUGCAUUAGUGUCCUAGAGUUGCUGUAACAAGAUACCACAAACUGGGUGGCCUAAAAGAACAAAAAUGUAUUGUCUCAUAGUUCUGGAGGCCAGGAGUCCAAAUUCAGGGUGUUGGCUGUGUUGCUUCUUUCUGAGGCUCUGAGGGAGAAUCUGUUCCGUGCUUCUCUCCUAGCUUCUGGAGAUCCUUGGCGAUCCUGGGCUUGUGGCUCCAAUCUCUGCUUCUGUUGUCACAUGGCUGUCUUCCCUCUGUCUUUCUGUCUCCAUGUACCUUCUCCUCUUUCAUAAGGAUACCAGUCAUAUAGGUAUAGGACCCACCCUACUCCAGUAUGACCUCAUGUUGACCUAACUGAUAAAAUCGUCCAAGACCCUAUUUCCAAACAAGGUCGUGUUCGCAGGUACAGGGGUUAGGACUUCACCGUGUCUUUUUUGGGGACACAAUUCAAUCUAGCACACACAGACUUACUCAUAUUCUGUGGACAUUUUGGAGAAUAAGACAAAAGAAAAUAAUGAUGAGCCACAGUUUCAUAAUUCUCAAGUGGAUGCAAUUCGUCAACCCAUUCAAUCAGCCUCUUAGUCAGCACUUUUCUUUUCCCUUAUUCAGACUUGCACUGACGUACUUCUAAUACCUGGAAAAGGGGAACUCGUGUUCCUGGGUUUCCCCAAAGAGGAAGUGAAAGAAACAAGCAAAACAAUUCCAUUCAACAUCAACAAUAACCAAAAAUCCCCCGAAAACUGCUUAUAGAACUAUGACUUGUGCCUUCAGUUCACUACACGUCUAAAAUAAGAACGGUAUGCAGCAGGAGAAGGUCAAGAAGUUUUUUUAAGAAUGAAAUGUGGAAAUGGAGUCAUCCCAGGCUCCUUGUGUGUGCAGAUUGCCUUGCUCUGUGUAUUUGAAGAGGACUCUGGCAAGUUCAUUCUCCAGACAAGAGCUCACCACAGGCUAGGUGACUUUAAAAGAAGCUGAGGAUUAGGGGUACAGAGUUUCUGUUUGGGGUGAUGAAAAUGUUUUGGAAAUAAAUCGUGGUGAUGGUUGAAGAUGCUGAGAAAAGUGCACAAAGCUGUGUGCCUCGUAAGUACCUUCAUAUGAGGUUCUGGCUUUGCUUAUUCCGUUUAAUUCAAGACAGGCAAUCUGCCAUUUCUAUUACUCUCAGCAACUUUCAAAAGGGGUUGACCUGCGUGGUUGGUUUCCGUGGGCCUCCUCACCAGGACAGGUCUCCUCUCAUCUAGAGAAAGAAAGAGAAAGAGAAGUACCUAAAUGCAUGCUGGCCAACGUCCACAUAUGGGCUCUGACAGACAGAGGGCGCCAAGAGGCAUCUCUUGGGCAUUUCUUCCUCACUUGAUCCAAAACCAAGCCAAACCCCUUGCCUAGUCCAUUCUGACUUAUAGCAACCCUGUAAGACAUGGUAGAACUGCCCCAUAGGGUUUCCAAGGAGCGGCUGGUGGAUUUGAACUGCCGACCUUUUGGUUAGCAGCUGUAGCUCUUAACCACUGGGCCACCAGGGCUCCUCCUCACCUGAUAAUGCCUCAGUUUUCACUCAGGGUUCUAGGAAGGUAGACUAAUUCAUUUGUUGUCAAAGCGGCAGGUGCGGUGAGGAGUGGGCCGUGACAACAUUCUACCCCCUGUUGUUGCUUUUAGCUGCUGUCCAGUUGGCCCCCGACUCAUGGCAACCUCAUGCGGAAGGGGACAAAACUGUGUUCGAUCCCGCACCAUCCCCGUAAUCAGCUGCAGAUCGGAUCACUGGGAUCCAUAGGUUCUUCCACUGGCUGAUUUUAGGAAGUGGACUGUCAGGCCUUUCUUCCUAGUCUGUCUCAGUCUGGAAGCUCUGCUGAAACCCGCUCAGCAUCAUAGCAACACACAAACUUCCACAGACAGACAGGUGGUGGCUGUGCGUAAGGUGCGUAGGCCAGGAAUCAGACCUGUGUUUCCCGAAUGCGAGGGGAGAGUUCUAUCACUGAACCACCACCGUGCCGCUCUGUGUUUUAACGCUAACCUUUUCAGCAACUCUGAAAAGUAGGGGUUGUUAAGCUAUUCUAUAGAUGAAGAAAUGGAGGCUCAGAGACAGUGUGUGCCGAGUUCAAUGUCACAGAGCUUGUAAGUGGCCGCACUGGGACUGAGCUAGCUCACUGUGGGUCUGGCACAUCCAUGAGGCAGGGAAGUUUCCCUCCUGCCUCUCUAGUGCCACCCUCUCAGGUGGUUUCUUCCCAAGGAUGGCACAGGGCAUGCUCUCACCAGGCUAAUCUGAUCUGAGAGCCACCAAAUGCACCGUGCACCACGGCACACUCAGAUCCUCAGAUACAGGGGUGAUGGCACUGCCAGGCAUCGACUCAUACACUGGGCGUUUUCAAGUAUAUGCAGGAGCCAGUCACAAGGAUGCCGGCAGGCCUGGGGGACUGGAGCCAGUGUCUCGGGGUGGACAGACACUGGCCCCAUAUACGCAGUGGGGGAUUGCUUGCAGGGCUUGGCCCAGAUCCCCUGGGGUUCACACCAGUGACUUGAUCCCUGAACCCAUCAGCAUGUGCUUAGGGGAACACUGGCUAAAUUCAGCCUCACUCCAGGAGACCAAGGAAUCCCUGCGUGGUGCAAACAGUUGACAUGCUCGGCUGCUAACCAAAGGUUGUAGGUUCCAGUCAUCCAGAGAUGUCUCAGAAGAAAGGCCUAGCGAUCUACCCGUAAGAAAUCAGCCUACAAAAACUCUAUGGAGCACAGUUUUACUCUGACACACAUGGAGUCGUCAUGAGUCAGAAUAGACUUGACGGCAACUGGAAGAAGGCCAGGAGCCUGGCUGGGGUUUGUGUCGGGAAAGGUAACCCCACGGAACUUCAAAAGACGAAGAAAACUCACAUGUGUUUGAGUCACUGAAUAGGUGCAGUAUGCUCACGAGGGGUGGCCUGGAGUGGACGUCACGGGCUGAGACUGCUGCCACAGAAGCAGGCUGGCUGUUGCUGGUUCUCUUUGACAGAUUUAUGACAUAGGACCAGCAGAGGUUAGCAAUGGCGCUGUUGACAGAGGCUCCACUUUGCCAGAGGCCUGAAGUCCAGUGGGCAAGGGAUAAAGCUGGGCCAGUGACGUCUCCUCCCCAACUCGCCUUACCCUCUCCUGAGAUUUCCACAUAUGAGCCACAAAGCUAAACUGACAUCGGAAUAGCUAUCGUCCACAUACAACUGUCAUAUCAACGUCACCUUUUACCCUCCUGAUGAUUCUGUGAUAGAGAUGAAGAGAGGUGUCUGUCAUAGAUUGAACUGUGUCCCCCCAAGAUGUGUGUAUUAACUUGGUUAGGCCACGAUUCCCCAGUAUUGUGUGGUUGUCCUCCACUUUGUGAUUGUAAGUUUAUGUUAAGAGGAUUAGGGUGGGAUUGUAACACCAACCUUACCAGGUCACAUCCCUGAUCCAAGGUAAAGGGAGUUUCCCUGGGGUGUGGCCUGCACCACCUUUUCUCUCUCAAGAGAUAAAAGGAAAGGGAAGCAAGCAGAGAGCUGGGGACCUCAUACCACCAAGAAAGCAGUGCCGGGAGCAGAGCGCAUCCUUUGGACCUGAGGUUCCUGCGCUGAGAUGCUCCCAGACCAAGGGAAGACUGAUGACAAGGACCUUCCUCCAGACCUUACACAGAGAGAAAGCAUUCCCCUGGAGCUGACAUCCUGAAUAUGGACUUGUAGCCUUCCAGACUGUGAGAAAAUAAAUUUCUCUUUGUGAAAGCCAUCCACUUGUGGUGUUUCUGUUAUAGCAGCACUAGAUGACUAAGACAGUGUCUUUAUCCCCAUUUAACAGAUGAGGAAGCUGGGAAUCGGGAGAUGCAGUGAUUUUGUCAAGAUAUUUCUGCCAUGUGUGCUGGGCUGAGUCCACCUGGGCCUUCAAACCCUCAGUCCUUCAUGGUGCACCUACCUAGGCUUGUCCCCCAUAUGGGUCUGGCAGGCUCUCGGCCAGGGUCUGACACUGGACUGGGAGGGGAGGAGGAGAAGGAGGGAGGACCCGAGGGCACAGAGUCCCGCCCAUACAUGCUGAGUUCCAGCCCAUCUUGGCCGUGUCCUAGGAGUCCAACUGGGCUGGGCCUGCGCAUUUCUGCUCAUUCCCAGUCUAGGGUCUGACUACACAUAACAAGAAUUUUGCUAACCCCUGACAUGUCACUGGUUUGCAGCCUUGGCUACACCUGGCGGUCACCUGGUAUAUCUGUUUCCAAGGUCUGCCAUAACAGAUUCCACAACUGUGGUGACUUGACACAACAGAAGUCAAUUUCUCUCACAGUUCUGAGGCUAGAAGUCUGAAAUCGAGGUGUCAGCAGGACCAUGCUCCCGCUGAAAGCUCUAGGGAAGGAUGCUUCCUUAUCUCUUCCAACUUCUGGUGAUUCCAGCAGCCCUUGGCAUCCCUUGGCUUGUACACGCUUCAGUCCGAUCUCUGCCCCCUCUUUCACGCAGCAUUCUUCUCUGUGUCUGUGUGUGUGUCCUAUUCUGUCUCUUAUAAAGAUAGUCAUCAUUGGAUUUAGUUAAUCUAGGAUGGUGCAAACAGUUAAUGUGCUUGGCUUUUAACCGAGAGGUUAGAGACUCGAGUUCACUCAGAGUUGCCUUGGAAGAAAGACCUGGCAAUCUACUUCUGAAAGAUCAGCCAUUGAAAACCCUAUGGAACACAGCUCCACUCUGACAGACGUGGGGUCACCAUGAGUCAGAGUUGACUCAAUGGCAACUGCUUUGUAUGACUGAAAAGUCCAAAGUAAGAGAGGCCCGGGGAAAUCCACCUGGUGGAGGCUUUCAGUGUGAUUUCUACCCAGCCUUCUAGUCUUGUCUGGUGCCUAGUCAUUUGGAUGAUGUAUGGAUGUCUUUUUUUGAAAUGGAUAAAAUACAAUGAGAAAGCAGUUCUAGGCAUGCAAUAGGGUGUGUCAAGGUGGUGAAAACAGUUAAUGUGUUCAGCUGCUAACUGAAAGGCUGGCAGCCUGAGUCCACCCAGAGGUGCCUUGGAUGAAAGGCCUGGCAAUCUACUUCCAAAAAAUCAGCCGUGGAAAACCCUAUGGAGCACAAUUCUACUCUGACACACAUAGGGUCGCCAGGAGUCAGAGUCAACCUGAUGGCAGCUGGGUUUUUUUGGGGGGCACCCUAGGCUCUGUCUUGGGCUGUAAUGUGUUAUUUCUGGCUGUUCGACACCUGAACAGCCUUGGACUAAAAGAGGCGGUGUUUGCUGUAACCAGGCGCCGCACUUUGUAAUCGUAUCUUGGGUGUUCACAUGAAGGUUGGGAACAACGCGUUUCUUCAGUUCUUAACGGUUUUCUCAUAAGAAACCAUGAAGUCAGCUUUGUUGGGUUUGUCAGUGGGCUUUCAACCGAGUGCUUUGGUCCACAAAAGGGUUAUUCAGUGCUCCCCUCCGUCUUAAUUAAUUGCAGACCCUCUGGACGGUCGGCCCUAGGGGUCUAUACCCUCCCCCACUCCCCCUCAGUCUGGCUUCCAGUCUGCUCACGGUCGUGUCCCCUCAACGCCGGAGCCCUGCUGGCGGGAGACCCUGGGGGUUUCAGCAGCUCUGUCCCUGCAGCGCGGCUCGGACCCUAGCUGGUUCCUCGCUGAAGUGGGUAUCAGAGCUAAUUUGGGCCCCAGACAUCAACUUGGGGAUCAUUUUCUAAGGCUGGCAGCCCCACAGUUUUAGUUCUAGACCUUGUUCACUGUUAGGGAAAGGGAAUGGGAGCCGGUGGCAUAGUGGUUUAAAUGUUUGCCUACUAACCAAAUGGUCAGCAGUUCAAAUCCACCAGCCACUCCUUGGAUACCCUAUGGGGCAGUUCUUUUCUGUCCUAUAGGGUGGUUAUGAGUUGGAAUUGACUCAAUGGCAACAGGUUUGUUUUUUGGUGUUAUGGAGAAGUGUUGGCUCGUGGGCUCGACAACCUUGCCUAAGGCAGGAUAAAAGAAUAAGGGCCCAGACCUUGGGACCAGCUGUGGUUCAAAUCCCAGCUUUACCCCUGAACAGCUGUGUGACCUGGGGCAGCUUCUUAACCUCUCUGUGCCUACUGUCCCUACCUAACGUAGUUAUGACCAUAGUGCCUGUCUCAGCUUGGGUUCCCAGUAAGUGCUCACUGUCACUUCUGUGACCAUAUUGAAGCUGCACUAUAUCAGGGCAAAUCUGCUGCCAAAGACCCUUUUAAAGUCGCAAAGAUGUCGGUUUGAUAACUAAGGUGUGUCUGUCCCAAGCCAUGGUCUUUUCAAUUGCCUCAUAUGCACAAGAAAGGUGGACAACAACAAAAAAGGAAGACUGAAGAACUGAUGCAUUCCAUAGUGGUGUGGGCAAAGAAUAUUGAAUAUACCUCAAAUUGCCAGACUAAUGAACAAAUCUGUCUUGGGGGAAGUGCGACCAGAAUGCUCCUUUGAAGUGAGGUUGGCAAGACUUCAUCUCAUAUAUUUUGGACAUGUUGUCAGGAGGGACCAGUCCCUGGAGAAGGACAUCAUGCUUGGUAAAGUAGAGGGCCAGAGAAAAAGAGGAAGACCCUCAAUGAGAUGGACUGACACAGUGGCUAAAACAAAGGGCUCCAACCUAGCAAGAAUUGUGAGGAUGGUCCAAGACCGGGCAGUGUUUCAUUCUGUGGUACACAGGUUGCUAUGAGUUGGGACUGACUUGACGGCACCUAACAACAUCAAUAACAACGAGAUUGUACAUUAGUUAUUCUUUUCUGGUUGACUUACUUGACUCAGUGCCCCCAUUCCCAUUUUAGCUGCUGUUACCCCUUACUCGGACAGGCGUCUUAGUCAUCUAAUGCUCCUAUAAUAGAAAUACCACAAGCGGGUGGCUUUAACAAGGAGAAGUUUAUUCUCUCACAGUCCAGUAGGCUAAAAAGAAGUCCAAAUUCAGGGUGCUGGCUCCAAGGGAAGGCUUUCUCUCUCUGUUGGCUCUGAAGGAAUGUCCUUGUCAUCAGCCUUCCCUUGGUCUGGGAGCAUCUCAGUGCAGGAACCUCAAGUCCAAAGGACGUGCUCUGCUUCCGGCACUGCUUUCUUGGUGGUAUGAUGUUCCCCUGUCUCUCUGCUUGCUUCUCUUUUAUAUCUCAAAGAGAUUGGCUUAAGACACUAUCUAGUCUUGCAAGUCUCAUCAAGGUAACUGCCACUAAUCCAUCUCAUUUCAUCACAGUGAUAGAAUUUACAACACAUAGGGAAAUCACGUAAAAUGGUGGACAAUCACACAAUACUGGGACUCAUGGCCCAGCUAAAUUGAGAGAUAUUUUGGGGGGAUGCAAGUCAAUCCAUGACAGCAGGAGACUCUGGGAAGACUGUUUGCAGGGUUUGGGUCUUCACCUCAGAUCUCCCAGGAGAGCAAAGAUGCUUUCCAAUUGUUAAUGACAUGUAGCUCCUUUGUCAAAUCUGUGCUCUUGAUUCCUCGCUUGUCUUGCGUUGACAAGGCUUAUGCAAGCCGCCUCCCUGACUCAUGCCUCCCUCCACCUCACACACUCAAGAGAUUGACUGGUGCUGAACAUGGGAGCUUGCAAAAUAGGGUACAGUUUAUACAGGACCUUGUGUCCUAACAGAAAUGUUCCAGCUCCACCCGAUGUGGUCCUGUGAUGAGUCAUUCCUGGAGAUUCCCCCAGGAGGUCCUAGACGCUGAAGGAAGAUUUAAGAGGUCAGAAGGUGGGGGAAGAGAAGAAAGGGCAGAUGUGGAGGCAAUCAUGACUGUAGACGGUUGUUGUGGUUAUUAGUUGCCUGAGUCAGCUCUGCCUCACACAGUGAAGUUUUGCCCAGUCCUGUGCCACCUUCUUCAUCACUGGUAUGUUUGAGUCCAUUGUUGUGGCUAUGUGUCAAUCCAUCUCAUGGACAGUCUCCCUCAUUUUUGCUGCCCCUCUACUUUACCAAAGGAGACCCUGGGUGGUGCAAAUGGUUAACUGCUGGACUACUAACCAAAAGGUUGGUGGUUCAAACCCACCCAGGGGCACCUUGGAAAACAGGCCUGUCUGUCUACUUCCAAAAGGUCACAGCCUUGAAGACCCUAUGGAGCAGUUCUACUCUGCACAUGUGGGGUUGCCACGAGUGGGAAUCCACACUACUACAGCUAACACCAACUACUUUACAAAGCAUGAUGUCUGUCUUCAGAGAUUGGUCCCUUCUGAGGAUGUGUCCAGCCAAAGAGCUUGGUGCGGCUCAAGAUCUCUGAGGAAGUAGCCUCCAGGACAGCCACUGCCAGGCAUAUUACACCCAUGCUGCAACAACUGUGGAGAAGGCGUUAGAGGGGCGUGUGGAGUUCUCUGGAUCAUAUUUCUUAUCAAAAUAAAAAAGGUAAAAUGCCGAAGUCGAUGCUGGCAAUGAAAUUUCUAGAACGGUGAUUCGUUGUUGUUGGGUGCUACUGAGUUGGUUCUGACUCUUAGCGACCCCAGGUGACAGAAUAAAACUGUCCCAUAGGGUUUUCUUGGCUGUAAUCUUUAUGGAAGCAGAUCACCAUGUCUUUCUCCCAAAGAGCCGCAGGGGGGUUUGAACCGCCAACUUUUCCGUUAGCAGCUGAGCGCUUAACCAUUGUGUCACCAAGUCUCCUUACCCAAUAAUAAUUAUUUGUCAGGUUCUGUUUCUUUGGGGAGGAGUCUCUGGGCAGCACAAGUGGUUAAAUGGUAGAUCUCUGAUGGAAAGUUUGGCCAUUCAAACCCCCCCAGCUCUGCCAUGGAAGAAAGACCUGGUGAUCUGCUUCUGAAAAACCGGCCAUUGGAAACCCGAUGGAGCACGGUUCUACUCUACACACAGGUAGUCGCCAGUAGUUGGAAUUGACUUGAUGGCAACUGGUUCCUUUGGGGACAUUCAGGUAGUCAAAGGUGUGAAAUUAUUGGACUUUUUGUGUUCCUUUGGUAAUCCCAGACCAAGACAACAAAAAUCCUUUGGUAAUACUGCAUGGAAUUCUGGAAACAUAAAUAAAUACAUCCUUCAGUACAUGUUGCAAUGUCUCAUGUUAAAAAUAAGUGACACGCUGAACAGUCAAGUCAAAUGUGAAUUCUAAGCGCUAAGAUGCAACCUGGGAUGGCACUAGCCAUUGCUGAGGUUCCCAGAGUAGUAUUUCCAGAUGGCAAAGUUAAUCUAUUCAUAAAAACUAACAUAAAUGUUUAUUUUUUCAUAACUGUUCAAGUUACACAUGCCCAUUGUAGAAAGCUGGAAAAAUUAAAGAGUAGCGUAAGGAUGACAUUUACCCACAAUAAUCCACCAUCCAGGACAGGCACAGUGAACAUUUUGGUAUAGAAUAUAUUGAUUUGCAUAGGUUGGCUCUUAGUGUUUUCUCCUGCUUAAUACUGUGUCAUGAGCAUCUUUCAUGUCACUGAAAAUUAUUGUUAAGCAUGAUUAAAAAAAUUUUUUUUUAUUAUGGAAAAUUUGAAACUCGUAGAAAAUUAGAGAGCGGUGUAUCAGGAAUUAUCAAUACAUGGCCAAUCUCAUGUCUUCUAACCCCUCCGAUCCCCCACCCUCCACCUCAAAAGUUAUUUUGAAACAGGUCCAGAAAUUAUAUACAGUGAAACCUGUGAAAGCUGGAACUCGACGAGACUGCCAUGUUUUUCUUUGUCUUGCACGUUUUUUGCCUUUGACAGGGUGCAGUCUUACAAUUUUUCUAUCACUCGUUUUUAGUGGAAAAUGUUUGAGUCUUCCUUCUCUGACAGAUUUCCGCCUUACACAGGUUCUGGCUUUCACAGGUUUUACUGAAAUAUUAUCUGUAAAUAUAUCAAUAUAUAUCUGAAAGCUAAGAAAAGACAAGAACUUAAAGAAGAUUAUAAUGCUCUUAACUCUUAUGAAAGAUUAAUAGUAUUUUAUAAUAUUAGCAAAUAUCUAGUCAGUGUUUACAUUUCCCUGAUGGUCUUAGAAAUUUUAUUUUUUGAGUUGGCUUAUUUGAAUUGGGAGACCCACAAUAAGAUGAGAUUGUAACAAUGAACUCAAACAAAAACAAUUGUGAGGAUGGAGCAGAAUCGGGCAACGUUUUGUUCUGUUAUACAUAAGAUUGCCAUGAAGUGGGGCCACCUCGACAGCACCCAACAACAACAACAACAACAUUUGUCUCUUUUGUUACCAUGCAGUUUAUACUGAGCAAUAUUAAAAUUACUACUCUGAGCAAUAUCAAAUUAGCUAUUAACCUCUUCUUCCCUCCCCCUUCCCUCUUUCCCAGAAUCUGAUUUGAAUUAGUAUCCUUUUACUCCUAGUUAGUACCCAUAAGGCAAUCAGAAAGCUUAUUCCAUUUUUCCUAUACACGUCCCGUAUCAUUCCUCUCUUUGUUAUAGCUGCACUGUAUUUCAUCAUCAGAGCAUAUAGCCAUUGUAUGCUACAUUCUAUUCAUUAUAACAUCGUUUACUCUGGUUCUACAGGUGAGUAUUUAACGCUCACCAUCCGUACUUAUGGCCGUGUCUUUCUACUCUUUUUGAAUACACAUUAUUAUGGGUUGAAUUGUGUCCCUCCUCCCCCAUCAAACUUAUGUUGAAGUCCUCACCCCUGUGCCUGUUUGGAAAUAAGGGUUUUCUUAAUGAAGUCAUGCUACAGUAGGGUGGGUUCGAAACCUAAUCUCUUCUGAGUGGUGUCUUAUAAAGAGAGCAGAAUUGAUACAUAAACAGGCCAAGUGAGGACCCAUCUAUAAGUACACCCAAAAAGACCCAAACCCAUUGCUGUUGAGUAGAUAUCCACUCAUAACAACCCUAUAGGAUAGAGUAGAGCUGUCCCAUAGGGUUUCCAAGGAGCAGCUGGUGGAUUCAAACUGCCAACCUUUUGGUUAGCAGCCGAGCUCUUAACCACUGCACCACCAGGGCUCCAUCUGCAAGUAAAGGGACACCAAAGAUUGCUGACAGUCACCAGAAACUAGGAAAGAGUCCCAUAGAAGGAACUGACACGACCAAAACCCUGAUUUGAACUUCUAGCCUCCAGAACGCUGAGAAAAUAAAUUUCUGUCUUUAGAGCCACCCACUUGAGGUAUUUUUGUUUUGUUAUGGCAGUAUUAAGUAACUAAGACACACAUUUACAAUAUUUUAAGAUGAUGUCAUGAGAAAGAAGUGAUGUCGGGCAUUCACCCUCAGAAGACUAAGUCCCUCGAAGACACUCACAGUGCUGGUUUUCUUCUGGCUGCUCUUCUCUACCUCUGGACAUCACGCCUGGUGGUUCUUGAUUAAUGUUGUUGACUGGCUCAGAGGUUGGGGGCCAAGUGCCACCAUUUGCAACUCGUGAUGCUUCGUCUCGCGGCUUUGCUGUGUCAGCACGCAUCAGCUUCUCUUUUAGCUGCCCUGUCAGCUGGCGGGCGAGGGGAUGGAGCAACGUCAAAUAGCAUUGGAGAGGUAGGGUGUGUGGGGCCGGAGCACAACUCCGGAAUUGCCCUUGUUUUAAGUACAGUGAUCUAGUGAGGCAUUUACAAGUUAAGUAAGCUGUGUGGGAAGUGGGGGAGGACUGAGAUAAAUGAAGAGCGAGGUUAGUGAGCUGCAACUGUUGUGGCCCAGUGAUUUCCAAUUACAGGGAGUGUAUUAGUGCCCUGUGGCUGCCGUAACAAAUUACCACACCCUGGGAGGCUUAAAACAACAGAAAUCCAUCCUCUCGCAGUUCAGGAGGCUGGAAGCCUUGAUUCAAGGAGUUGGCAGGAUUGGUUCCUUCUGGCUGCUCUGAGGGAGAAUCUGUCCCAUGCCUUUCUCCUAGCAUCUGGUGGUUGCCGGCAAUCCUUGAUAUCCUUUGGCUUGUACAUGCGUCACUCCCAUAUCUGCCUCCGUCUUCACGUAGGCUUCUCCUUUCUGUGUUUCUGUUUCUUUCCUUUCGCGAUAAGGACACCGAUCGUUGAAUUUAACCAGUAACAAGUUGCUGUUGAGUCGAUUCUUGGCAACCUCACAUGUGUCAGAGUAGAACUGUGCUCCAUAGGGCUUUCACUGGCUGAUUUUUUGCAUGUAGUUCACCAGGCCUUUCUUCUGAGGUGCCUCUGGGUGAACUUGAACCUUCAACUUUUUGGUUAGCAGUUGAGUGCAUUAACUGUUUGUACAUGCAGGGACUCAUUGCAUUUAGGGCCUACCCUAAUCCAGUGUGCCCUCACAUUAAUUAGUGACAUCGGCAGAGAGCCUGUUUCCAGAUAAGGCCACAUUCUGAGGUAUUGGGUAGACCUGAAUUUUGGGAAGGGCCCUCUCCAACCCGCUACAGGGAACAUGCUCAGAGUACUUCAGCUGACAGUGUUGACAUGCCCCUCCCCCUGGAGCUGCUGACAACUCCUCAGAUGGCUGAGCACCUCUUGUUUCUAAGACUUCCUUGGGGUUUUCCCUGCUGCCCACGUCACUGCUUCAGUAUUACUGCCGCACGAGAGCCUUUCUUAUUUCACGAUGUGGUCAGGAAGGAGUGGGGGCUCAUCCAGGGUGCCUAUGUGAGAGGAAACUGGCUGUAGGGGUAUAUAGGAGACUAUGGAGCUUGGGCGUAGUGGUCUCAGUUCUGGCCUUACUGUGGGCAUGUCUCUGUUUUGCUCCCCCUAGUAUUGGUCCCUGGGUGGUGCAAAUGGCUAACGUGCUUGGCUGCUAACUGAAAGGUGCCUCAAAAGAAAGACUUGGUGAUCUACUUUUGAAAAAUCAGCCACUGAAAACCCUAUGGAGCACAGUUCUACUCUGAGACACAUGGUGUCGCCAUGAGUGAAGCUGGCUCAACAGCAACUGGUUAAAAGUCGUGUCAGUGCCUUUCUGUGAGUCUCCCUUCCCCGCCCAUAGAGAAGGAAUGACUAGGCCAACUGGCCCUCCUCCGUAUCAGCUGUUCCUUUUGGUUGGAGUUCUUAUACCAGGCUCACUCCUUCAUGGCUGCCUUGGGGUGACCAGGGCAG